RNAcentral lists this ribosomal RNA (235 nucleotides) under uncultured bacterium. RNAcentral describes it as "partial 16S ribosomal RNA". It matches the Rfam family "Bacterial small subunit ribosomal RNA", at positions 118 to 353 of the family's 1533-position model. The record is from RNAcentral.
UGAGCAACCUGCCCUUGACCCCGGAAUAACAGCUGGAAACAGCUGCUAAUACCGGAUACGACCUCCGACGGCAUCAUCUGGAGGUGGAAAGCUCCGACGGUCAAGGAUGGGCUCGCGGCCUAUCAGCUUGUUGGUGAGGUAAUGGCUUACCAAGGCGACGACGGGUAGCCGGCCUGAGAGGGUGACCGGCCACACUGGGUCUGAGACACGGCCCAGACUCCUACGGGAGGNAGCG